AGCCUAGUGGUUAGAGCGUUGGGCUAGUAACUGAAAGGUUGCAAGUUCAAAUCCCCGAGCUGACAAGGUACAAAUCUGUCGUUCUGCCCCUGAACAAGGCAGUUAACCCACUGUUCCUAGGCCGUCAUUGAAAAUAAGAGUUUGUUCUUAACUGACUUGCCUAGUUAAAUAAAAAAAAAUAAAAAAAGGUUAAAUGUAAGUCGCUCUGGAUAAGAGCGUCUGCUAAAUGACUUAAAUGUAAAAUGUAAAUGUAAAUGUAACUGGAACACAAGCAUAUCAAGCACCAAUGCAGUAUUAUAAUACAGACAUGAAUAAUCAUGCACAGAGCUCAGUCAUUCCUGGCCUCUCUGAACCAUCUGCUGACAGUCAUUCCCGCAGAGACUGAUCCCUGUAUAGGUAUUGAUUUAAUUUGUCCUGAUCUCACAGGUUAAAGACGUUUAAAUUGAUGCUUAGCCAGCUGUGUCGUGUUCUCCUCAACAAACAUGUUUUACUGCUACACCAUACCUUGUGUGUCUGUGGUCGACAGACACACACACUAUCACAUUAUUAAACUACCUAGAAUGAUUGGUACUGCUAGAUUUGGAAGUGAGGAAGUAUUGACGGACAUGGUUAGAACUUGACAAAGUACCAGAGAUUAACACCAUUGAUUUCUUCAGUGGCUCCACUGUAUUAUUUUGUAGAGAGAGUAGUCAUUUUGGAACACAGCCUAACUGACAGAGGAAAGAGGCAUGACUUACGCACAGAAACCCCUGCUUGAUUUACACGUUCACAGUCAAUCAGCCUUUGGCGAUCGUUAAUGGAAACCAUGGAAACGGUGGCUACCACCAUGGCAACCAAUCUUGUUUCUCUCUCAGUAGUUUGUUAUUUUAUGACAGAGGUUAUUCAGUAUUGUUUGAUGUUUAGGUCAUUGUACGUGUUGCUGUGGCCUAUAGGGCUGGCAGCAGAGAGACGCCUCGUUAGGAUACUGGAAUCAGAGUCAGAGACAGCCUGCCUACAGCUACAAAGGGAGCAUUUGCUAGCUACACUCUCCAGCUCUGGCUCUGUUUGUGUGGGUCUCUGCCAUAAAGAUAGUGUUCAACACGGACGCAGCUGUCAGACUGUUUCUGCCAUAGCCAUAGUGCUAAACAUGGAACAACCUUUCUCUUGAACAUGUUUGACAGUGAAGACAGAUACUGGGCAGAGACUGCUUACAUCAAAUAUAUCUCAUCUCUCCAUCCACUAUGUAUAUAAAAGGGUUGAUUCUUCUUCUCUACUGCAGUGAAACUUGUUAUUCUUCACUGACCCAAUCUGCCUCUCUCUGCCUGACUCUGUGUGAUGCUUCUGUUCUUCUUCUUCUCCUUUAGUUCUUCUUCUCCUUUAGUUCUUCUUCUCCUUUAGUUCUUCAUCUUCUCCUUUAGUUCUUCCUCUCUUCUCCUUUAGUUCUUCUUCUCCUUUAGUUCUUCUUCUCCUUUAGUUCGUCCUCUCUUCUCCUUUAGUUCUUCCUCUCUUCUCCUUUAGUUCUUCCCCUCUUCUCCUUUAGUUCAUCCCCUCUUCUCCUUUAGUUCAUCCCCUCUUCUCCUUUAGUUCUUCCCAUCUUCUCCUUUAGUUCUUCUUCUUCUCAUUUAGUUCUUAUUCUCCUCCUUUAGUUCUGCCUCUUCUCCUUUAGUUAUUCCUCUCUUCUCCUUUAGUUAUUCUCCUCCUUUAGUUCUGCCUCUCUUCUCCUUUAGUUCCUCUUCUUUUCCGUUAGUUCUUCUUCUCCUUAGGUUCUUCCUCUCUUCUUUAGUUCUUCCCCUCUUCUCCUUUAGUUCACCCCCUCUUCUCCUUUAGUUAUUUCCCUCUUCUCCUUUAGUUAUUUUUCUUCUCCUUUAGUUCACCCCCUCUUCUCCUUUAGUUAUUUCCCUCUUCUCCUUUAGUUAUUUUUCUUCUCCUUUAGUUCAUCCCCUCUUCUCCUUUAGUUCUUCCCCUCUUCUCCUUUAGUUCAGCCUCUCUACUCCUUUAGUUAUUCUUCUCCUUUAGUUCUUCCUCUCUUCUCUAGUUCUUCUUCUCCUUUAGUUCUUCCUCUCUUCUCUAGUUCUUCUUCUUCUCCUUUAGUUAUUAUUCUCCUUUAGUUCUUCCUCUCUUUUCCUUUAUUUUUUCCCCUCUUCUCCUUUAGUUCAUCCCCUCUUCUCCUUUAGUUCUUCCCCUCUUCUCCUUUAGUUCAGCCUCUCUACUCCUUUAGUUAUUCUUCUCCUUUAGUUCUUCCUCUCUUCUCUAGUUCUUCUUCUCCUUUAGUUCUUCCUCUCUUCUCUAGUUCUUCUUCUUCUCCUUUAGUUAUUAUUCUCCUUUAGUUCUUCCUCUCUUUUCCUUUAUUUCUUCCCCUCUUCUCCUUUAGUUCAUCCCCUCUUCUCCUUUAGUUCUUCCUCUCUUCUCUAGUUCUUCUUCUCCUUUAGUUCUUCCUCUCUUCUCUAGUUCUUCUUCUUCUCCUUUAGUUAUUAUUCUCCUUUAGUUCUUCCUCUCUUUUCCUUUAUUUCUUCCCCUCUUCUCCUUUAGUUCAUCCCCUCUUCUCCUUUAGUUCUUCCUCUCUUCUCCUUUAGUUCUUCCUCUCUUCUCCUUUAGUUCUUCCCCUCUUCUCCUUUAGUUCUUCCUCUCUUCUCCUUUAGUUCUUCUUCUCCUUUAGUUCUUCCUCUCUUCUCCUUUAGUUCUUCUUAUUCUCCUUUAGUUCUUCCCCUCUUGUCCUUUAGUUCUUCCUCUCUACUCCUUUAGUUCACCCCCUCUUCUCCUUUAGUUGUUCCUCUCUUCUCCUUUAGAUCUUCUUCUUCUCCUUUAGUUCUUCCUCUCUUCUCCUUUAGAUCUUCUUCUUCUCCUUUAGUUCUUCUUAUUGUCCUUUAGUUCUUCCUAUUCUCCUUUAGUUCAUCCUCUCUUCUCAUUUAGUUCUUCCUCUCUUCUCCUUUAGUUCUUCCCCUCUUCUCCUUUAGUUAUUCCUCUCUUCUCAUUUAGUUCUUCUUCUUCUCCUUUAGUUCUUCCUCUCUUCUCCUUUAGUUCUUCCUCUCUUCUCUUUUAGUUUUUCUUCUUCUCCUUUAGUUCUCCUUCUCCUUUAGUACAUAAUCUCUUCUCCUUUAGUUCUUCUUCCUCUCCUUUAGUUCUUCCUCUCUCCUCAUUUAGUUCUUCCUCUCUUCUCUUUUAGUUCCUCUUCUUCUCCUUUAGUUCUCCUUCUCCUUUAGUUCAUCCUCUCUUCUCCUUUAGUUCUGCUUCUUCUCCUUUAUUUCAUCCUCUCUUCUCCUUUAGUUCUUCUUCUCCUUUAGUUCAUCCCAUCUUCUCCUUUAGUUCAUCCUCUCUUCUCCUUUAGUGUUCUUCUCCUUCAGUUCUUCCUCUCUUUUCUAGUUCUUCUUCUUCUCCUUUAGUUCAUCCCCUCUUCUCUUUUAGUUAUUCCUCUCUUCUCCUUUAGUUCAUCCCCUCUUCUCCUUUAGUUCUUCCUCUCUUCUCCUUUAGUUCUUCACCUCUUCUCAUUUAGUUCUUCCCCUCUUCUCCUUUAGUUCUUCCCCUCUUCUCCUUUAGUUAUUCCCCUCUUCUCCUUUAGUUCUUCCCCUCUUUUCCUUUAGUUCUUCCUCUCUGCUCCUUUAGUUCUUCCUCUCUUCUCCAUUAGUUAUUUUUCUUCUCCUUUAGUUCAGCCUCUCUUCUCCUUUAGUUAUUCUUCUCCUUUAGUUCUCCUCUUCUCCUUUAGUUCUUCCUCUCUUCUCUAGUUCUUCUUCUCCUUUAGUUCUUCCUCUCUUCUCUAGUUCUUCUUCUUCUCCUUUAGUUAUUAUUCUCCUUUAGUUCUUCCUCUCUUUUCCUUUAUUUCUUCCCCUCUUCUCCUUUAGUUCAUCCCCUCUUCUCCUUUAGUUCUUCCUCUCUUCUCCUUUAGUUCUUCCUCUCUUCUCCUUUAGUUCUUCCCCUCUUCUCCUUUAGUUCUUCCUCUCUUCUCCUUUAGUUCUUCUUCUCCUUUAGUUCUUCCUCUCUUCUCCUUUAGUUCUUCUUAUUCUCCUUUAGUUCUUCCCCUCUUGUCCUUUAGUUCUUCCUCUCUACUCCUUUAGUUCACCCCCUCUUCUCCUUUAGUUGUUCCUCUCUUCUCCUUUAGAUCUUCUUCUUCUCCUUUAGUUCUUCCUCUCUUCUCCUUUAGAUCUUCUUCUUCUCCUUUAGUUCUUCUUAUUGUCCUUUAGUUCUUCCUAUUCUCCUUUAGUUCAUCCUCUCUUCUCAUUUAGUUCUUCCUCUCUUCUCCUUUAGUUCUUCCCCUCUUCUCCUUUAGUUAUUCCUCUCUUCUCAUUUAGUUCUUCUUCUUCUCCUUUAGUUCUUCCUCUCUUCUCCUUUAGUUCUUCCUCUCUUCUCUUUUAGUUUUUCUUCUUCUCCUUUAGUUCUCCUUCUCCUUUAGUACAUAAUCUCUUCUCCUUUAGUUCUUCUUCCUCUCCUUUAGUUCUUCCUCUCUCCUCAUUUAGUUCUUCCUCUCUUCUCUUUUAGUUCCUCUUCUUCUCCUUUAGUUCUCCUUCUCCUUUAGUUCAUCCUCUCUUCUCCUUUAGUUCUGCUUCUUCUCCUUUAUUUCAUCCUCUCUUCUCCUUUAGUUCUUCUUCUCCUUUAGUUCAUCCCAUCUUCUCCUUUAGUUCAUCCUCUCUUCUCCUUUAGUGUUCUUCUCCUUCAGUUCUUCCUCUCUUUUCUAGUUCUUCUUCUUCUCCUUUAGUUCAUCCCCUCUUCUCUUUUAGUUAUUCCUCUCUUCUCCUUUAGUUCAUCCCCUCUUCUCCUUUAGUUCUUCCUCUCUUCUCCUUUAGUUCUUCACCUCUUCUCAUUUAGUUCUUCCCCUCUUCUCCUUUAGUUCUUCCCCUCUUCUCCUUUAGUUAUUCCCCUCUUCUCCUUUAGUUCUUCCCCUCUUUUCCUUUAGUUCUUCCUCUCUGCUCCUUUAGUUCUUCCUCUCUUCUCCAUUAGUUCUUCCUCUCUUCUCUAGUUCUUCUUCUCCUUUAGUUCUUCUUCCCCUUUAGUUCUUCCUCUCUUCUCCUUUAGUUCUUCCUCUCUUCUCCUUUAGUUCUUCCUCUCUUCUCUAGUUCUUCUUCUUUUCCUUUAGUUAUUAUUCUCCUUUAGUUCUUCCUCUCUUCUCUAGUUCUUCUCCUUCAGUUCUUCUUCUUCUCCUUUAGUUCUUCCUCUCUUCUCCUUUAGUUCAUCCUCUCUUCUCCUUUCAGUUCUUCCCCUCUUCUCCUUUAGUUAUUCCCCUCUUCUCCUUUAGUUUUUCCCCUCUUCUUCUAUAGUUCUCCCUCUCUUCUCCUUUAGUUCUCCCUCUCUUCUCCUUUAGUUCUCCCUCUCUUCUCCUUUAGUUCUUUCUCUCUUCUCCUUUAGUUCUCCCUCUCUUCUCCUUUAGUUCUCCCUCUCUUCUCCUUCAGUUCUCCCUCUCUUCUCCUUUAGUUCUUCCUCUCUUCUCCUUUAGUUCUUCCCCUCUUCUCCUUUAGUUCUUCUCCUUUAGUUCUUCUUCUCUUCUCCUUUAGUUCUUCCUCUUUUCUCCUUUAGUUCGUUAGUGUUGUAUUGAUGAAGGCACAGCACAAAGUGAGUCCUUGGCAGACGGUUUCGUCUCAAGAGAAGGUGAUGUUUUAUAUGCCCUAACAGAUUUAGAAAAAUACAUUCAAUGUUUGUUUCGUAUAGAGAGUUUGAGAGCUGCAAAAAAAAUGGUGUUUCACACUUUGAAAAAGUGUAGAAAAAGCAGCUGUUGAAUAAUGCGUAGACAAUGUUUUAACCAAUUAAAAGUAAAUCUUAAGCCAAUAUAAUUUUGACAUUUUAAUUAAAGGGAUGUCCGGUUGCUGUUUCAUUUGGUGUUUCAGACUGAACAACAUUUGACUUUUCUUCUUCAUUUUUUCUUUUUUCAAAAGUUUUAAUACAAGAAUAUGAAGGGUUAUGAUAUAAAGGGAUUAUUUAGUUUGUUCACCUGAAAACCUCACGGUAUAGUUUUUUUAUACAUCACUACUGAAAGAUGUUGCUGAAUAAAACAUUUAUAAAUACAUGAAGAUCAUUCAUGAAUAAGAGAAAAGACAAAUCAACUUUUGAGAAAUAAACGUUUUCUAAGCAAAGUGUCUCUGAAGAAAGUCAUCAUGCUUUUUGUAACAGAAUAAAGGAAUCAACUAUGUAA
Long non-coding RNA from Salvelinus fontinalis (brook trout), 6094 nucleotides. RefSeq lists it as uncharacterized. Lineage: Eukaryota; Metazoa; Chordata; Actinopteri; Salmoniformes; Salmonidae. The transcript is spliced from 2 exons. The record is from RefSeq and is a predicted model, not a curated record.